UCAAAUUUUUUUCUUUCUCUCUGAAUUGCAGUGAGCUCUUCCCAAGAACAACCUCAUUUGCUGGAAGAUGUGGUUUUCGUAAGAGUCUGAAACUACUGCACUAUCCUGUCCUGCUAUUUGGUCAUACUUCUCUGGUGACAUUCUGGACUUGGCACAAUAGACGUGCCCUCACAUGCAGAAUGGGGCUUCAUGCUAGUGUGAGAAUUUCUGCCUGGAUGCCCUGACCACUCCAUAAAUCUAAAUAAAGCCUCACAAUGUUCCAAAUACUAUGACAAGUGGAGGAUACAGAGGAUAGUGAGUAGGAGCAUAAAAUCUGAAGCAGACCUGACUACAUCUGAAUCCUGGUACUACUAAUGGUGGGAUGCAGACAGAUCGGUGAGGCAUGUUGCAAAACACCAGCAAGAGAUCCAGGGCUCACUCCUGGGGCUGACUCUGAUUAGACCCUUGCUGACCACAGUUCAAGUAGAUGAAAAGGCAUCCGGUUUGGACUUAACUGAGGGCAAUGUGAAGGUGAGCAUCCAGUUAUGUCCCAUGUCCUUUGAACAACUGUCAUUGCACAGACAAACCAUUUUGGGGACUGUUUAUGCUUACUUGAAGUAUUAGUAGUAAACUCACUGCGUUACCCCCAGUGAUAGUCACUGAAGGCAUUUAAAAAAUCUGCAAAAACAAAAAUCAAACUCAUAAUAAAAAUAAACCCCACAACAUCCUCAAUAUAUUGAUUAAACUUUCUAUAUGACUAUAGACAUGGAGGAGAAGAAAUCAACUCAGAGAGAGAAAUAGGCGCUAAUAAACUGCUUUCCCAGCAGUGACAAUAGUUGUGCCUUAUCAUGUGAAUAGCAAUAUACUAAAGUUGAAC
Molecule: long non-coding RNA, 856 nt
Filed under: Callithrix jacchus (white-tufted-ear marmoset)
Lineage: Eukaryota; Metazoa; Chordata; Mammalia; Primates; Cebidae
Description: lncRNA (ENSCJAG00000063894.2)
Source: RNAcentral